Molecule: ribosomal RNA, 469 nt
Filed under: uncultured Alphaproteobacteria bacterium
Lineage: Bacteria; Pseudomonadati; Pseudomonadota; Alphaproteobacteria
Description: bacterial SSU rRNA
Rfam family: Bacterial small subunit ribosomal RNA
Source: RNAcentral
GAGUUUGAUCUUGGCUCAGAACGAACGCUGGCGGCAUGCCUAACACAUGCAAGUCGAACGAAGGCUUCGGCCUUAGUGGCGCACGGGUGCGUAACGCGUGGGAACCUGCCCCUCGGUUCGGAAUAACAGUGGGAAACUACUGCUAAUACCGGAUGAUGACUUCGGUCCAAAGAUUUAUCGCCGAGGGAUGGGCCCGCGUAGGAUUAGCUUGUUGGUGGGGUAAAGGCCUACCAAGGCGACGAUCCUUAGCUGGUCUGAGAGGAUGAUCAGCCACACUGGGACUGAGACACGGCCCAGACUCCUACGGGAGGCAGCAGUGGGGAAUAUUGGACAAUGGGCGAAAGCCUGAUCCAGCAAUGCCGCGUGAGUGAUGAAGGCCUUAGGGUUGUAAAGCUCUUUUACCCGGGAUGAUAAUGACAGUACCGGGAGAAUAAGCUCCGGCUAACUCCGUGCCAGCCGCCGCAGUAAG